RNAcentral lists this long non-coding RNA (734 nucleotides) under Ananas comosus (pineapple). RNAcentral's name for it is "long non-coding RNA (ACOM_LNC034914)". The record is from RNAcentral. Lineage: Eukaryota; Viridiplantae; Streptophyta; Magnoliopsida; Poales; Bromeliaceae.
AUCAAAUCGAGAUAUUGAAAUUUGAUAUUAAUAUGUCGAUUUGAUCUCCGCUUCGCUUGGAGUUCUAUUCCCUGGUUUUCUACGAUACUCCAAAGCGAAGGAUCACCAUAUUCAUGAUACUCUUCAUGGUGGCGUCGUGGAUUCGGCGUAUUUGACGGCGGUUCGUGGAUUCGGAUCGUGGGCUCGUGGAUUCGAGUGGCGUCGUGGAUUCGGCGUGAUUGAAGCUUCGUGGAUUCGAAGUGAAGGCGUUCGUGGAUUCGGACGUGAGGGCGUGGACAACCCGGAGGGUAGCGCGAAGAUUCAUAGGAGGUUAAGAGAGGUUAAGUCCGUGGAGUCGGUAAUCACCUUGUAAUCUUUUCUCUUAGUGAAUUGUUUUUUCGCGUGUUGGUCCCGUGGGUUUUUCUCCAAGUUGGAGUUUUCCCACGUAAAUCUCGGUGUGCUUUUUAUUUUCCGCAUUUAUUUUUAUUGCAUCGAGAUUUGUGGUUUUUGGUCGUUACACCUAUUCACCCCCCUCUAGGUGAUAGAUACAAUCUAGAUAGAUCCUUGGGCUCCUCAAAACUUUCACAUAAAGUAUUUUUGAAUGCAAAUUCAUGCUAAACAUGAUUUAUGUGAAUUUUAGAACACUUAAAAUGCAUGCCUUAUGUAUCAUAAAAUUUGCACUCUAUAUAGUAGAGCUAUAUGUGUAGAUUGAAUGCAUUGUGAAUGGUGUUUGGUUUUACAAGUUGAGAACAUGU